This 492-nucleotide ribosomal RNA is filed under the name uncultured bacterium. RNAcentral describes it as "partial 16S ribosomal RNA". It matches the Rfam family "Bacterial small subunit ribosomal RNA", at positions 29 to 507 of the family's 1533-position model. The record is from RNAcentral.
AGUGAACGCUGGCGGUAGGCCUAACACAUGCAAGUCGAACGGCAGCACAGUAAGAGCUUGCUCUUACGGGUGGCGAGUGGCGGACGGGAGAGGAAUACAUCGGAAUCUACUUUUUCGUGGGGGUUAACGUAGGGAAACUUACGCUAAUAUCGCAUACGACCUACGGGUGAAAGCAGGGGAUCUUUGGACCUUGCGCGAUUGAAUGCGCCGAUGUCGGAUUAGCUAGUUGGCGGGGUAAAGGCCCACCAAGGCGACGAUCCGUAGCUGGUGUGGGAGGACGGUCAGCCACACUGGAACUGAGACACGGACCAGACUCCUACGGGAGGCAGCAGUGGGGAAUAUUGGACAAUGGGCGCAAGCCUGAUCCAGCCAUACCGCGUGGGUGAAGAAGGCCUUCGGGUUGUAAAGCCCUUUUGUUGGGAAAGAAAAGCAGCAGGUUAAUACCCCGCUGUUCUGACGGUACCCAAAGAAUAAGCACCGGCUAACUUCGUG